RNAcentral lists this ribosomal RNA (463 nucleotides) under uncultured bacterium. RNAcentral describes it as "partial 16S ribosomal RNA". It matches the Rfam family "Bacterial small subunit ribosomal RNA", at positions 28 to 507 of the family's 1533-position model. The record is from RNAcentral.
GACGAACGCUGGCGGCGUGCCUAAUACAUGCAAGUCGAACGGACAGGCCCUUCGGUGUACACGAGUGGCGAACGGGUGGGUAACACGUUAGUAAUGUGCUAUCGUCUCUGGGAUAACAGCCGGACAUGGUUGCUCAUACCCGAAAUACACAUGUUCUUGUGAGGCGGUUUGUUCAAAACUUUUGCGGGCUUUGACUGACACGCGGGCUAUCAGCUUGUUGGUGGAGUAAAGGCCUACCAAGACUUCGACGGGUAGCCGGCCUGGGAGGGCCGCCCGGCGCAAGGCUACUGAGGUACGGCCCAGACGCCAACGGGAGGCAACAGGCGGGAGUUUUACGCAGUGGGCGGAAGCCAGAGGCAGCAAUGCCGCGUGCGGGAAGACGUGCUACGGGUGGUGAACCACUUUGUGUGUGGACGAGGAGGAAGUGACGGUACCUACACAGGAAGCAACGGCUAACUACGUG